Molecule: ribosomal RNA, 238 nt
Filed under: uncultured bacterium
Lineage: Bacteria
Description: partial 16S ribosomal RNA
Rfam family: Bacterial small subunit ribosomal RNA
Source: RNAcentral
UGGCGGACGGGUGAGUAACGCGUGGGUAACCUGCCUCAUACAGGGGGAUAACAGUUAGAAAUGACUGCUAAUACCGCAUAAGACCACAGCACCGCAUGGUGCAGGGGUAAAAACUCCGGUGGUAUGAGAUGGACCCGCGUCUGAUUAGGUAGUUGGUGGGGUAACGGCCUACCAAGCCGACGAUCAGUAGCCGACCUGAGAGGGUGACCGGCCACGUUGGGACUGAGACACGGUCCAA